AUUGAACGCUGGCGGCAGGCUUAACACAUGCAAGUCGAGCGGAGAUGAGGUGCUUGCACCUUAUCUUAGCGGCGGACGGGUGAGUAAUGCUUAGGAAUCUGCCUAUUAGUGGGGGACAACAUUCCGAAAGGAAUGCUAAUACCGCAUACGCCCUACGGGGGAAAGCAGGGGAUCUUCGGACCUUGCGCUAAUAGAUGAGCCUAAGUCGGAUUAGCUAGUUGGUGGGGUAAAGGCCUACCAAGGCGACGAUCUGUAGCGGGUCUGAGAGGAUGAUCCGCCACACUGGGACUGAGACACGGCCCAGACUCCUACGGGAGGCAGCAGUGGGGAAUAUUGGACAAUGGGCGGAAGCCUGAUCCAGCCAUGCCGCGUGUGUGAAGAAGGCCUUUUGGUUGUAAAGCACUUUCAGCGAGGAGGAGGCUACCUGGAUUAAUACUCUAGGAUAGUGGACGUUACUCGCAGAAUAAGCACCGGCUAACUCUGUGCCAGCAGCCGCCGUAA
RNAcentral lists this ribosomal RNA (501 nucleotides) under uncultured bacterium. RNAcentral describes it as "partial 16S ribosomal RNA". It matches the Rfam family "Bacterial small subunit ribosomal RNA", at positions 30 to 523 of the family's 1533-position model. The record is from RNAcentral.